UCCCUGGUGGCUCAGAGGUUAAAGCGUCUGCCUGCAAUGCGGGAGACCCAGGUUCAAUCCCUGGGUUAGGAA
This is a transfer RNA of Ovis aries (sheep), 72 nucleotides long. It matches the Rfam family "tRNA". Rfam says of the family: Transfer RNA (tRNA) molecules are approximately 80 nucleotides in length. Their secondary structure includes four short double-helical elements and three loops (D, anti-codon, and T loops). Lineage: Eukaryota; Metazoa; Chordata; Mammalia; Artiodactyla; Bovidae. The record is from Rfam.